AGGGAAUCUUCGGCAAUGGACGAAAGUCUGACCGAGCAACGCCGCGUGAGUGAAGAAGGUUUUCGGAUCGUAAAACUCUGUUGUUAGAGAAGAACAAGGAUGAGAGUAGAACGUUCAUCCCUUGACGGUAUCUAACCAGAAAGCCACGGCUAACUACGUGCCAGCAGCCGCGGUAAUACGUAGGUGGCAAGCGUUGUCCGGAUUUAUUGGGCGUAAAGCGAGCGCAGGCGGUUUCUUAAGUCUGAUGUGAAAGCCCCCGGCUCAACCGGGGAGGGUCAUUGGAAACUGGGAGACUUGAGUGCAGAAGAGGAGAGUGGAAUUCCAUGUGUAGCGGUGAAAUGCGUAGAUAUAUGGAGGAACACCAGUGGCGAAGGCGGCUCUCUGGUCUGUAACUGACGCUGAGGCUCGAAAGCGUGGGGAGCGAACAG
This 428-nucleotide ribosomal RNA is filed under the name uncultured bacterium. Its description in RNAcentral is "bacterial SSU rRNA". It matches the Rfam family "Bacterial small subunit ribosomal RNA", at positions 356 to 775 of the family's 1533-position model. The record is from RNAcentral.